This 465-nucleotide ribosomal RNA is filed under the name uncultured bacterium. RNAcentral's name for it is "partial 16S ribosomal RNA". It matches the Rfam family "Bacterial small subunit ribosomal RNA", at positions 28 to 507 of the family's 1533-position model. The record is from RNAcentral.
GACGAACGCUGGCGGCGUGCUUAACACAUGCAAGUCGAACGGAAAGGCCCUGCUUUCGGGGUACUCGAGUGGCGAACGGGGGAGUAAAACGCGGGUGAUCUGCCCUGCACUUCGGGAUAAGCCUGGGAAACUGGGGCGAAUACCGGAUAGGAGCCAUUUUUAGGGUGAUGGUUGGAAAGUUUUUUCGGUGUAGGAGGAGCUCGCGGCCUAUCAGCUUGUUGGUGGGGGAAUGGCCUACCAAGGCGGCGGCGGGUAGCCGGCCCGAGAGGGUGGACGGCCAACUUGGGGCCGGAAUGAGGCCCCAGCUCCCUCGGGGGGCAAGCGUUGGGAAUUUUUCCACAUGGGCCCAAGCCUGAUGCAGCCACGCCGCGGUGGGGAAGACCGCCUUCGGGUUGUAAACUCCUUUCCCUAGGGACGGAGCUUUUUGUGACGGUACCUAGAUAAGAAGCACCGGCUAACUACGUG